UGGGGAAUUUUCGACAAUGGGGGGAACCCUGAUCGAGCCAUCCCGCGUGUGGGACGAAGGCCUUCGGGUUGUAAACCACUUUUCUCAACGAAGAAAAGUCUUAGGCUAAUACCUUAAGAUGCUGACGGUAGUUGAGGAAUAAGCACCGGCUAACUAUGUGCCAGCAGCCGCGGUAAUACAUAGGGUGCAAGCGUUAAUCGGAAUUACUGGGCGUAAAGGGUGCGCAGGCGGCUUGGAAAGAACGGUGUGAAAUCCCGGGGCUCAACCCCGGAACUGCACUAUUAACUAUCAAGCUAGAGUAUGUCAGAGGGGGGUGGAAUUCCGCGUGUAGCAGUGAAAUGCGUAGAUAUGCGGAGGAACACCAAUGGCGAAGGCAGCCCCCUGGGAUAAUACUGACGCUCAGGCACGAAAGCGUGGGUAGCAAACAGG
RNAcentral lists this ribosomal RNA (429 nucleotides) under uncultured Oligella sp. Its description in RNAcentral is "bacterial SSU rRNA". It matches the Rfam family "Bacterial small subunit ribosomal RNA", at positions 355 to 776 of the family's 1533-position model. Lineage: Bacteria; Pseudomonadati; Pseudomonadota; Betaproteobacteria; Burkholderiales; Alcaligenaceae. The record is from RNAcentral.